This 182-nucleotide ribosomal RNA is filed under the name Escherichia coli. RNAcentral's name for it is "partial 16S ribosomal RNA". It matches the Rfam family "Bacterial small subunit ribosomal RNA", at positions 1 to 176 of the family's 1533-position model. The record is from RNAcentral. Lineage: Bacteria; Pseudomonadati; Pseudomonadota; Gammaproteobacteria; Enterobacterales; Enterobacteriaceae. RNAcentral also lists the same sequence under 1 other name.
AAAUUGAAGAGUUUGAUCAUGGCUCAGAUUGAACGCUGGCGGCAGGCCUAACACAUGCAAGUCGAACGGUAACAGGAAGCAGCUUGCUGCUUCGCUGACGAGUGGCGGACGGGUGAGUAAUGUCUGGGAAACUGCCUGAUGGAGGGGGGUAACUACUGGAAACGGUAGCUAAUACCGCAUAA